CAUAAGGAAUGUUAUUCAAAUCAUAAGGGAGCUUCAACCAGCACAUAAGAAACAUAUCUAAAUCACUUUCGGCCAAGAUUUUCUUGGGGAUGGAAACGUUAUCCAAGAGUUCUUCUUUGGCCAAGAAACGUUAUCCAAGAGUUUCUUAUCCAAAUCACAUAAGAAACGUUAUUUUGGGGAUGGAAAGGUUUCGGCCAAGAUUUUCUUUGAGCAACAUGAUUUCGUUAAGCUUUUCAUACAACUUGUUCCGUGUUUUGUCGCAAUUGACGUAUAUUAGAUGGAUUUCAAGAGAAUCAGAUCAGUUGGUUCGCUCGGUCACAUGCAGUCAGGCACCGAAUGACAUGUUACGCCCAGGCCAUGGUUUGGGGCGUGACACAAUCCCACAAAAUCUAGUCAUUUAGGUAUGUAUCCUAAUCAUCUUCAUCUUGCAAAUAAAGAACGCGAAGAACUCUUGGAAUUUGAUAUAAUAUAGCCAUCAAAUUCACAGUGGGCGUGUGAAGCAUUUUGUGUCAACAAAAAAGCUAAGCAAACAAGAGGAAAAUUCAGUGAUAUAUUGGAGGAACAUGUCACCAAGGUGCAUACAGUCCAGGACCACAUAUAAGUCAGGAACUGCUCAAAUUUUCAAAUACCAGCCUCACAACAAAGCAGAUCUGGUAGUUCUUGGGUGUAGUGAAUUAUGUAAGAGAUUUCAUACCAAAUAUUUCUACAUACAUUUCUCCUCUCAUAAAGAUGCUCAGAAAAAUACUCCGUCAUGGGAAAAGAACAAGAUGAAGUAGUUUAUAAAAUAAAGGAGAUAUCUAAAGAUGUCUAGUCUCUCUACAUCUCUUCAGAAGAUAAGAAAAUACUACAAACUGAUGCUAGCAAUGAAUAUUGGAGUGUUGUUCUAUUUGUAGAAAAAGAUGUCCAGAGGAAUAUAUGUGGAUAUGCCAGUAAAAAAUUCAAAGAUGCCGAGCAACAUUAUCACUCCACUUUCAAGGAAAUUCUUGUAGUAAUGAAUAGAAUAAAGAAAUUCAGUUUUUUCUUAAUUCAUACAGAAUUUCUGAUAGAAAUGGAUAUGAAGGGCUUCCCAAAGAUGUUCUAGAUAAAUGAAAAAAUUAUUCUCAAUCUUCAAAUUCUCAGAUGGGCCCAAUAGUCUUGUCCAUACAAGUUUCAAGUCAAGCACUUGAAAGGAAAGGAUAAUAUUCUCGUAAAUUUUCUGUCUCGACUAGAAGAAUUCUCAAAAAAAGUUUCCCCAAAGAGGUUGAAGUCAAACCAAAAGCUAACCUGCCACAUCUUCAUGUUUUCAAAUCAAGAACAAGUUCAUUGAAGCCAGCAGAUCAUCCACCAGAGUUGUUCAACCUCAUGGAUCCCUUCGAUCAAUCACUUAUAAUGGAAAGAAGAACUUAUUAUGAGCUCCAAGUUUUCCGGCAAUAUAUAGGAUAUAUUCUUAAGCCCUACGGGGUCAAUACAGAAUAUCCAUUCCGCUAUAUAUUCAUAGCACAAGCCAAGGAUUAUUCACUCAAACUUUUACGUUUUUUUAGUAAUUAUGACAUCAGUAUUAUAUUUUCAUGGAAUUCAAGUGCAACGUCUUCAAGGGUUUUGACAACAUUGAAACUGCCCUUAAAAUAUUUCUAUUAUGGUUCAACGAUUCCUACAAGGAAAAGGUAUUCAUAUUCCAUAUGCCAGUGAAGAUUAUUAAUGAAAAGGUCCAGGCGCAAGAAGAAGUAUCAUGCUGGUGGAAAUUUUCCAUGUCUAUUUUAUCCACGGAAGAAGAAUAUAGUGAAGCAUAAAGAAUUAUCUUCCAGCAAAAUAGGUGCAUCCCGAGAGAAAUAUGGCCAAAAGAUUGGGCGAGUUGGAAUUAUACAAGUACUCAUCCUCACUGGAAAAGGGUCCGAGAAGCAGCAAAGGAAUACCAGAUCCCAUACAAAGUCAUCCGAGGAAAAAAUAUUCAAGAUAUAUCCAGAUUAAGGUUACAUAUUACAUCUCUCAAUCCAAAGGAGAAAGAACACAACGAAGUAAGAUCGUCAAGCUCCGGGCGUUACUACACAAGAUCUUUGAAAAGAUGCCUAGAAUACAAAGUCGAAAAAUCAAUGCAAGAUAAUCAUCUAAAUCCCUCCUAAUCUCACCUUAAUCCCACAUUGCCUACCAAAUAACCCUAAAGAAAUCAUCUACCCAUACCGAGACAAAAUUCUACAUAUUUCCAUACUAUCCAGACCCCAAUUUGCCUCCAAAUGCUCUAUCACAUGGAUCACCCUACUUUCACAUGAUUUCACAUGACCCCACAUACUUCUACAUGCUUUACCAUGUAUAUUUCACAUAUUUUUAGAAGCUUGUUAGUAUGUAUUAGUCACUUUGCCUAAGGUCCUUCACAUGUCAAAUGAGACUCACUUAUAGAUAAGUUGGCCAUGUAAGAUAGAUUUAUUUUGUUAGAUAAGUUUGUCUUGUAAUAACCUCCUAGCCCUAUAUAAAAUAUGUCAUGUAGUAGUUGUAAGAUCA
Molecule: long non-coding RNA, 2475 nt
Organism: Nicotiana tabacum (common tobacco)
Lineage: Eukaryota; Viridiplantae; Streptophyta; Magnoliopsida; Solanales; Solanaceae
Source: RefSeq, a predicted model, not a curated record